GGUGGUGCAUGGUUGUCGUCAGCUCGUGUCGUGAGAUGUUGGGUUAAGUCCCGCAACGAGCGCAACCCUUAAGCUUAGUUGCCAGCAUUCAGUUGGGCACUCUAAGGUGACUGCCGGUGACAAACCGGAGGAAGGUGGGGAUGACGUCAAAUCAUCAUGCCCCUUAUGACCUGGGCUACACACGUGCUACAAUGGACAGUACAAACGGUUGCCAACCCGCGAGGGGGAGCUAAUCCGAUAAAACCGUUCUCAGUUCGGAUUGUAGGCUGCAACUCGCCUACAUGAAGCCGGAAUCGCUAGUAAUCGUGGAUCAGCAUGCCACGGUGAAUACGUUCCCGGGUCUUGUACACACC
Molecule: ribosomal RNA, 353 nt
Filed under: uncultured bacterium
Lineage: Bacteria
Description: bacterial SSU rRNA
Rfam family: Bacterial small subunit ribosomal RNA
Source: RNAcentral